CUCUGUGACUCCUACGGGAGGCAGCAGUGGGGAAUAUUGCACAAUGGGCGCAAGCCUGAUGCAGCCAUGCCGCGUGUAUGAAGAAGGCCUUCGGGUUGUAAAGUACUUUCAGCAGUGAGGAAGGUAUCGUAGUUAAUAGCUGCGGUAUUUGACGUUAGCUGCAGAAGAAGCACCGGCUAACUCCGUGCCAGCAGCCGCGGUAAUACGGAGGGUGCGAGCGUUAAUCGGAAUUACUGGGCGUAAAGCGCAUGCAGGUGGUUUGUUAAGUCAGAUGUGAAAGCCCCGGGGCUCAACCUCGGAAUUGCAUUUGAAACUGGCAGACUAGAGUACUGUAGAGGGGGUAGAAUUUCAGGUGUAGCGGUGAAAUGCGUAGAGAUCUGAAGGAAUACCGGUGGCGAAGGCGGCCCCCUGGACAGAUACUGACACUCAGAUGCGAAAGCGUGGGGAGCAAACAGGAUUAGAUACCCUGGUAG
This 473-nucleotide ribosomal RNA is filed under the name uncultured bacterium. Its description in RNAcentral is "bacterial SSU rRNA". It matches the Rfam family "Bacterial small subunit ribosomal RNA", at positions 328 to 793 of the family's 1533-position model. The record is from RNAcentral.